GGUAUAAUGAGUACCUCAGUUUAGCGUGUUACCAUGGCAACAUUUGCUAGCAAGUACUAAAAGCAAACUUCUGUCAAGGUUGACGGAGAUGUAAUUUGACCUGCAUUCAUGAUAAAGAUGCAUUUAUGAUAUAAUUUGACUAAAUGUGAACCAGAUUUCGCUUAUUAUUGGUUUCACUCAAGAGCACAAUUUUUUUUUAUUCCAAAAUGCAUGACUGGAUUUAAUUUUCUGCUUAAAAAUUCUUCAGAAUGGUUGGGUCAUUGAAAGUUUUGAUGUCAGUGUUUCAUCACUGUCUGGAAGUAAUGUGCUAAAAUCUGCCACAAUACAUUAAAACCAAGAAAAAAUGAACAAGUAAACAUCCAAAGCAGUGAAGUUAAGAUCAGAAACAAGUUGGGACAUGUAAAAAUGUGACAUAUACUUAACUGAACUCACAAUUAUGUGACAGAAGAUUGAGCAAGCUUCCUGUUCCAGAUGGACCCUCUGGAAGGCCCAAUCAGCCCAUGUGUCUGACACUCAAGGCCAUGAUUUGCUUCAUUAUUAAAGCCAAAUGUCAGAACAAGCCCUCAAAGGCUUUUCUUCUGUCUACAGGGUGACUCGGCCGCCGUAUUACUGAUACAAAUGAUUUCAUCAAAGUAUCCCGAGCAGCCUCUUCAAUCCUGACCCACAGGCUUCUGUCUCAGCCUUUCAGCAUACAGGCUGGUUGUUCACAAAGGGAUUAUAUUGAGCUAUCCAGCCAUAUCUCUGGGGCGAGACAAGCAGCAUGACUGUUGCAGAGUUCUGGAUCCUGCUGAGGAGGUUGGUGCUGCAAAGAAGAAAAAAAAGAAAAAAGACACUGACGGCUGCCUAUUCCUGUGUUCAUUCAGAUUUUACCAGAAGCGCCUGCACUCAGGUGGAAUCUUAAUGUUGUAAAGCUCUCAGGUGCUUGGAGAAAAGCCUGUGUAGCGUUCGGGCGUCGUGCUAAGCGCACUGGCUGCUGCUUAGAUCUGCUGUGUGCACUGCAUACCAAUUACUGGCCCUUCAGGUAGAAAGGUUGGAUUUUUGAGGCUUCAAAGGACAAGCUGGCUGCAAAUGAGCCCGCCCCCGCUAUCUUAAACACAUGCUCGAGGCAAUAUCAUCAUUCCCACUGACCUUGGAAACAUUCACAGAAAACGUGGACAGUGAGGAACCAGAAGAGGGAUGCAGGCAUUCGGGUCAAACCGAGUUGUGAUGUGUGCAGCUGUAUAUUAGCUUUAUAUAAAUACGUUUUAGCUCGUACUUUUUGACUGGAUAAAAGGUAUUUAAGCUUAAACAUACCAGUUGAGGAGACUGAUACCAUUUUUUUUAUAGCUAGUGAACUCAGUCAUGCAGAAACACUCCAAACAAGGGAAACCAACUCGCCUGAAUGUGUUAGAAAGUGACAAAAUCCACCUAUCAACACCCCUAAAGCUCACUAAUUAACACUAGAUGUUUUGUUUCAGCAAAGACUGAAGUGGGAAGAAACUGUUUUCCUUCUUUACUGGUUUACUAUUCUCUUCCAUAAAAUACAGCCGGCACAUAACCUCCAUUAAAACAGUGAAUUCCUGUGAUUAAUGUCUUUUACAGUGAGCCACAUUCACACUUUCUAAAAUGACAAACCAUUUCUUUAAACCAUUCUGGCUUCAGCUUACUGAUGCAGCAUUGAUCCUAUCACAAAAUAUACCACUAAAUUCAACACUGAAAUCCAUGAUGCUAUAAUUCAGUGUUUUUAAUCAGCAAGAAAGCAUACGAUGUGUCUUGAAUUUCCAGUUUUAGAUUAUUAUAACAUUUUAGCAUCAUCAAUGCCACAGUAAAUAUUUGAGACAAUAUGAUUUCUGUUUCAGUAUAAAAUAAAAACUAUAAAUAUGAUUUACAAUCAAUCAAAAACAAUGGUGACAAAGAGGACAAAGAAUCUCAGAUCAGCACCCACUUUCCAUGUGUGUGGCCAUUUAUUUAGCAUGCAAUUGUGCUAAAUAGUAAGCCUAUAAAGUACGAUUUGCUAUUAAUACAACUGUCAUUAGCAGGAAAAUCUUUGGCGUGCAGAUUGGGAAGUUUAAAUGCAGAUUUACAGCAGUUAUAGUCUGAAGUCAGAGGCAGUGGAAAACAUUAUAAACCCUUGUAUUUUUCCUCCAGGAAUAAAUCUCAACUAAAUCCCCAAACUCCUAAUUUCCUUUACUGGUGUUCUGGUGUAGUCUGUGUUUAACACUCCCUGUGUGUCUGGCUGUAAAUAAAGCUGCAGGAUAAACUCACAGCUUCAUCUCCUUUAGAAGAAGCUUCCAUUGUGACACAUAUCACAUAUACUGUAACCAUAUACCUGCUGCUGAUAAGCACAGUGUCUGGGACUACUGCUCUAGUUACAGAUCUGCCCUGCUCACGAUAGCUCGGCUUUAUCAGCAAACCUGCAAAAUACCAUCAUCUUAUAGAGCCAAAACAGUCCUGAGAUAAGGAGUCAUGAAAGACUGGUAGCGUAUCAGCAGGUCGCACAUUUCCAGCAACGUUUGCAAAGUCGAGUCUUCUCUCAAAGCUGGAAUCCAUUAAAACAAGUGGUUAAACUGAACAUUUUCAUGCAGAACAGUGCGAGUCUGCACUGACACCUGGUGGCUUCACCCGAUCUCAGCGUUUUCUGCUCUAAUCCAUGAGCUGCAACAAAUGCAAAACUUGUCUUUGAAAACAUGUCUCUGAUAGAAGUGUAAUGUCAGGUUGAGGCGCAGCAUUUUAAUAGAGUGCAAAAAGUACACUUGAAAUUGCAUUUCAAACAAGAUUACUGGCUUUGAAUCCUGUUUAGAAAACAUCAGUUUAGCAGCAGAUUGGCUGGUUAAUGGUUUAAUUCAUGAUGUGAAUUCUGCUGUUUUAUCAACCAUUAAAAAAAAAGACACAACAAACUUAAGUGCUUGCUGCAUCUAAGCAUUUUAAUUAAACACUGGAUGGAAAUGUUGAGUUGGAAUGUUUUUCCUCC
This is a long non-coding RNA of Amphiprion ocellaris (clown anemonefish), 2950 nucleotides long. The record is from Ensembl. NCBI's taxonomy places the organism in Eukaryota, Metazoa, Chordata, Actinopteri, Pomacentridae.